This 1045-nucleotide unclassified non-coding RNA is filed under the name Hevea brasiliensis (rubber tree). The record is from RNAcentral. Lineage: Eukaryota; Viridiplantae; Streptophyta; Magnoliopsida; Malpighiales; Euphorbiaceae.
GGCGACCUUGUUCAAAGACAUUGUGUAGUGACUGCUUGGUAAUGAAAUUCGUCAAAAAAAUACAUUCAUUCGCUCUCCAAAAAGUAGACAAAAAUUUUCUAUCAAUGCGGAUAAAAUUUCAAUUAGCGUUCUAAUGCUUCUGGACUCAGCUACUUGUUCUAUCAGCACUGGUCUGAGUCUCUGCAAGAACUGCUGCCCCACAAUUGAUGCUAGACAUUUUUCUUCUUCCCUAAAUUAGCUUCAGCCAGCUGUUGUCUUUUUCUCCAAGCUGGAAUCCUACCUGGGAAAGCCCAUCUCAACAAUCUCUCCCACGUGUGGCAGACCAAAAACAUAAGAAAUGCCCAAACCAAAAGCUUAUUCCUCAAUCCUGGGGGCAAUGGCACCAAUUUUAACCAGUCAUUCAAGUCCCUGAAUAGAUCAGAAGUGAUAACCGUGAAGAAACCUACAGCAGCCAAUAGGGCAUACAAAAAUGGUUUAUUUUCUGUGAUGCUCUGGUUGAAAGGAUGGCCCAUAUAAUUCACAGCAAAAGUGGCCACCUGGAGCAUCAUGCUCACCAUAUAUGAAACUGUGUUCACCAGAUUGGGAUGAAAAUCAGAAUCUGGCUCAAUGCAUUCAUCGGGCAUAUACUUCUCCGCCUCUUUGACAGAAGAUAUCAAGAAAAACAGGUGGACUGAAAACUGUCCCAUGAGAGAAAGGAAGACGUAGAAGCAGAAAAUAUUGGGGUGGGGCCGUUCCGCUGAAAGAAUGGGAAGGGGGCGAGCAUGUGAGAUAAAUAGAAAAAAAGCUGCAGUAAAGACACCGCUGAUUGUGGCCUGAAUAUCACCAAGCUUGACACCAUCCAAAUACAUGACACUCAACACAUAUGCCGUAGCAAGGCAGUUAAGGCCCAGUAUUUUAAACAUCUGGAGAGUAGUAACAAGGGUACUGCGACCUUGACGAAUUAUGUCGGUCGUAGGGGCAACUGAAGCAUGUUUUGCUGUAAAAGGAGAGGCCAUUGAAGCAUCACCAAGCUUGACAAUGGGAGCUGAGCGACCAUCGCCUUCCU